Molecule: transfer RNA, 67 nt
Filed under: Marmota monax (woodchuck)
Lineage: Eukaryota; Metazoa; Chordata; Mammalia; Rodentia; Sciuridae
Description: tRNA.Ala
Source: RNAcentral
GGUUGUAGCUCAUUGGUAAAGUGCUUGUCUGGCAUGUGUGAGGCACUGGGUUCAAUCCUCAGAACCA